This 292-nucleotide ribosomal RNA is filed under the name uncultured bacterium. Its description in RNAcentral is "partial 16S ribosomal RNA". It matches the Rfam family "Bacterial small subunit ribosomal RNA", at positions 505 to 796 of the family's 1533-position model. The record is from RNAcentral.
GUGACAGCAGCCGCGGUAAUACGGAGGGUGCAAACGUUGCUCGGAAUUAUCGGGCGUAAAGCGCACGUAGGCGGUUCGCUAUGUCGGAUGUGAAAGCCCUCGGCUUAACCGAGGAAGGGCAUCCGAAACUGGCGGGCUUGAGUACGGAAGAGGGUCUCGGAAUUCCCGGUGUAGAGGUGAAAUUCGUAGAUAUCGGGAGGAACACCAGUGUCGAAGGCGGAGACCUGGGCCGAUACUGACGCUGAGGUGCGAAAGCGUGGGGAGCAAACAGGAUUAGAAACCCCCGUAGUCC